This 140-nucleotide ribosomal RNA is filed under the name uncultured eukaryote. RNAcentral describes it as "partial 18S ribosomal RNA". It matches the Rfam family "Eukaryotic small subunit ribosomal RNA", at positions 1299 to 1458 of the family's 1831-position model. The record is from RNAcentral.
UGGUGGAGUGAUUUGUCUGGUUAAUUCCGUUAACGAACGAGACCUUAGCCUGCUAACUAGUCACAGUGAUUUCGAUCAUUGUUGGCUUCUUAGAGGGACUUUGUUGGCACUAAACACAAGGAAGUUUGUAGGCAAUAACA